This 444-nucleotide ribosomal RNA is filed under the name uncultured bacterium. RNAcentral describes it as "partial 16S ribosomal RNA". It matches the Rfam family "Bacterial small subunit ribosomal RNA", at positions 339 to 795 of the family's 1533-position model. The record is from RNAcentral.
CUACGGGGCGCACCAGUGGGGAAUAUUGCACAAUGGGCGCAAGCCUGAUGCAGCAACGCCGCGUGGGGGACGAAGGCCUUCGGGUUGUAAACCUCUUUUAGUAGGGAAGAAGCGCAAGUGACGGUACCUACAGAAAAAGCACCGGCUAACUACGUGCCAGCAGCCGCGGUAAUACGUAGGGUGCAAGCGUUGUCCGGAAUUAUUGGGCGUAAAGAGCUCGUAGGCGGUUUGUCGCGUCUGCUGUGAAAAUCCGAGGCUCAACCUCGGACCUGCAGUGGGUACGGGCAAACUAGAGUGCGGUAGGGGAGAUUGGAAUUCCUGGUGUAGCGGUGGAAUGCGCAGAUAUCAGGAGGAACACCAAUGGCGAAGGCAGAUCUCUGGGCCGUAACUGACGCUGAGGAGCGAAAGCGUGGGGAGCGAACAGGAUUAGAUACCCCAGUAGUC